RNAcentral lists this ribosomal RNA (492 nucleotides) under uncultured bacterium. Its description in RNAcentral is "partial 16S ribosomal RNA". It matches the Rfam family "Bacterial small subunit ribosomal RNA", at positions 29 to 507 of the family's 1533-position model. The record is from RNAcentral.
AGUGAACGCUGGCGGUAGGCCUAACACAUGCAAGUCGAACGGCAGCACAGUAAGAGCUUGCUCUUACGGGUGGCGAGUGGCGGACGGGUGAGGAAUACAUCGGAAUCUACUUUUUCGUGGGGGAUAACGUAGGGAAACUUACGCUAAUACCGCAUACGACCUACGGGUGAAAGCAGGGGAUCUUCGGACCUUGCGCGAUUGAAUGAGCCGAUGUCGGAUUAGCUAGUUGGCGGGGUAAAGGCCCACCAAGGCGACGAUCCGUAGCUGGUCUGAGAGGAUGGUCAGCCACACUGGAAGUGAGCCAGGGUCCAGACUCCUGCGGGAGGCAGCAGUGGGGAAUAUUAGACAAUGGGGGCAAGCCUGAUCCAGCCAUACCGCGUGGGUGAAGAAGGCCUUCGGGUUGUAAAGCCCUUUUGUUGGGAAAGAAAAGCAGCAGGUUAAUACCCCGCUGUUCUGACGGUACCCAAAGAAUAAGCACCGGCUAACUUCGUG